Pelobates cultripes (western spadefoot toad) is the source of this 440-nucleotide non-coding RNA. The record is from the annotation of a GenBank genome assembly. Lineage: Eukaryota; Metazoa; Chordata; Amphibia; Anura; Pelobatidae.
CACACAGGAACACAGAUACACAUGCAGUGGUGUAUUUGUGUGCAGUGUUAGCGUUGGAAUGUAGUAGUGUAUAUGUGUGCAGUGUUGGUACUGGAAUGAUGGAACGUAUGCAUUGCCACACGCAUAGAUACACACUUACACAACCUGACACUCAUAUACAUACACAGACACGCAGGUACACAUACAAACUGACACACAAGUACACGGACACAGGUAUACAUCCACAUAGAUACACAUAAACACUGACACAAAGGUACACAUACACUGACACAAACACAGCCAGAUACACACACACUGACACUCACACAGCCAGAUACACACAUACAGCCAGAUACAAACGCACACACAUACAGAUACACACGCAUAAAGUCAGAUACACACGCAUAGUCAGAUACACACACACACAGUCAGAUACACAUAUACAGUCAGAUACACACACA